RNAcentral lists this long non-coding RNA (8521 nucleotides) under Heterocephalus glaber (naked mole-rat). Its description in RNAcentral is "lncRNA (ENSHGLG00000038911.1)". The record is from RNAcentral. Lineage: Eukaryota; Metazoa; Chordata; Mammalia; Rodentia; Bathyergidae.
CUCAUUUUUUAAAGCCUCAAAUUUUGGGGGAUUCAUUUGUAGUACAGAUGCACCAUCCAAUUAAAGGCAGUAAUGACUUACAAUACUUUUUUGUAUCAGAACACUGGGCAGUGAUCUGGCUUUUUUUUGCUUUUGUUUCAUUUUUCACUAAUGCCAGUGGAAGCAGCUAACUAAGUCACUGGGAGGUGAGCCUUCUGCAAUUCAGGUUAAUCAUGGAUAUUUAGGGGGUAUUAUUUUGCCAUGUUAUAUUAAGACUAGAGCCAUCAUGUGAAACAACAGAUGUUUUUAUUAACUCAAACAAUGAGCUUAUAUAUUUUGGAUACUUUUUCCAAAAAACAGAGGCAUGUAAUUAUUUCAACACAGCCUUUAUAUGUGCUCUGAGGUUCUUGGACAAUUUCAGUAUAAAUAUGGUUUUCAUGAAAGGGAAUCAAUACUGAACCAGGUUGAUUUUAAGAACUUAACAUUUGGGGUUAUAGAGCUAAUUUGAGAUUGACCUUCUUUAUACUUAGUCAUUGAUUGGGGGAGGGAAAAAUAAUUUCCUUACUUCCUUUCCUAUCUGUAAUUUAUUUUUCAUGUUAUAGAAGGGUUCUGGGGUAUGAAUCAGAAAUCUUAGUGUCUAGUGUCAUCCCUGUCACCAUAGCUGGCUGGGUGACCUUGGACAAGUCACUUUACCUUUCUGGACUUCAGUAAUAAAAUGAGAGGAUUACACUGGAAUAAGCACCACAGACCUUUCCUAAUGCAAAAGAUGAAGUAAACACAAAUGUGUACAGGCCCUAGGCCUACACCCCUAGAAAUGUGUGUGUGCGCCUACAAACGUGAGCGUGUACAGGCAAAAAAAAAAGCAGAAUUAUAAGUUUUCAUACAAGCACAUUCAGGAAUAAACAGAACACAUACACAAACUCACACAAAACAAACAGCUUUGGCUUCAUAUGUAUACACAUACUCUAAAAUAACUUCCAUCUUCUUGAGACAGGAUGAAUCAUUACCAUUCAUAGGCUAUGAAGCCUGUAUAAGAAGGUAGUGUGUGUCAUUAGAUUACCCCAAAUCCCAUUGCUUAGCUCAGAAGAUUCUAGCUAUGUUUGAUCACUUACACUCUCAGCAUCACAAUUCUAAGCUCACUGGGGCAUGGAGCCAAAAGCACAGGGCUCCUCCCCUUGGAUGGGGUCUUUGGGUCUUGGGAUCCUGGUUCAGGCCUCUGUCUCAGCAAUGAGCCAGAUUGGCCUUGGGCUGUGGUUUCUGUCCACUCAUGACUCUGAAAAUGGCUGUGCAGCAGCCCAGAGAGUUUCUCUGCAGCCUACAUUCUACAGGGCUGAAACUCAUUGUCACAUUUCUCUCUAGGGAUGGGGCUGAGGGGAAGGUAGAAGGUAUCCAAACUAAGAGAGACAGAAUGUAUGAAUGAAUGAAUGAAUGAAUGACCCAGUUGGUAGAAUUCAGUUAGCUGAGCUCCCAAAUUGUCCUGCAGUUCUCUGGCCCAUGAAACAAUCCUGAAUGUCUUCAUCCAAUUUCAUGUAAGUGUCUUUUAUACUGAAAAGACGCUGUGUAUGUGUGUGGGUCCCCAGGGUCCCUUUUCCACUUGUUCAAGCCCUUCUCCCUCUGCAAGGCCUGGUCAGGCACCCUCAGUAUCCCUUCCAGCUUGCUCUGGCCUCCAUGCAGCCCAUGGCUCUCAUCCUUUUGUCUUGAGCAGCUGUUUACACACAUCUGACUCCUCGCCUCUAGACACUAGGUCCCUAGCCCCUCAAUUUUACCCAAAGGCCCUGGUCUGGUGCCUUCUUGCACUAGGGAAACCUUCUAUCAAUGUUGAUUCAUUGGCCAGUCGAGCUGUCUCUCACAGGCAGCAGGCACCUGGUUACUGCCUCGGUCAGCAUGCAGUCCAGAGGCAUGGUCUUCCACAGGGCCAAAGCCUUGAGCUUAGAAGUUCUCAUAUGACCAGGGGGCAGGACACUGGGGCCUAUAGGAGUACUGACCCCCAAGGCUGAAGAAGUCUUGGCAAACACAUGCCAGGCCCGCAUCACCCUUGUCCUCAUGAUCAUUGGCACACAUUGCUUUGGGGAUUACAGAUGUUUCACAUUUGCUUUCAUUUCUGAUCUUGGCCAAAUAGGGGCAGAAUUAGACAGACCUGUUUCACUCAUUGUGCAAAUGAAGAAACUGACACUCAGAGGGACUGUGGCAGGUUUUCUAUGGAGCUAAUGCGCCUCGAGCACUGGGGCUCCUUCCGGUCCAGGUGUAUGUUCACAGGGUCAGAUGCUAUUGAAAAACUUGGAGCACAGCAUCGUUUAACUGCAGGCAUCCUGGCUGCUCCUCUUUUCUGCUCUGACUUCCCAGGGUGUCUAGUGGAUGCUGGGGGAUCUGACUCAGGCUGGGUGCCAGUGGGGUACAUUUAUGCAACUCACAGACAGAGCACACACCCAUUCCAGGGCAGAGAACACCUUUCAGGGAUGCUCCUGCCAUCCCGGGCCACCGUACUUGGCCUAUGUGUCUGGAAGCUGCAGGGCCAGAAGCUGUACAACAGCAUCUCUGGGCCCUGAGGUGCCUGGACCAGGGUGUAUGUAUAGGGAAAGAAAGAAGAGUUGAAAUCAGGGAGUCAGAAACUUAUCUGUAUAAAAUUGUGAGCAGAAGUAACAUUUAAACAAAAAGCAUUGUAGAGGUAUUGGGCAGUGUACAUAUUGCUAUUGUCUGGAUUUUGGAAUGUCUUUGGUACUUGUUAGUUUUUUCACAAAUUGUAACAUUGAAAUUUUAAUAAUUUUAAAUUAAUAAUCAUAUCUGCACCUAAUUUUGUAUCCAUAACUUUGUGUUACCACCACUACCACCAUAUGGCAAGUGUUCUAAGCUGCCAGCCCUACAAAACCUGAGUCCAUCCCAAGAACAUUCCUGGGAUGAAGUGCUGGCUGCGACCAGGUUUUCUGGGUCCUGGCUAGGGCUCCUCCCCUGCCUGCCCCAGAGGUUUUCAGCCCGUAUAUAAAUCAUGUAUUUGUACAGCACUAUGUACACAGGAGGUACUUAAAAGUGCCAUGUGCCCUUGAAGAGAUUUUUCUCCACAAUGAAAAGAAAGUCAAAGCCUUGAUAGUGACCUUGACUGGGAUGAUAAAAGUCCCUUUCUUAGAAAAAUUGGCCCAUUACACCCUGGUCUUGACCUGUCAGUCGAUCCACUCAUGGGUCUCAGGAUGGGAUGGAGCCCUAAUCCCCUCCACAGUCACUCUGUGAGACAAAAUCCUGCCUGUCACUGGGAUAGGCCGCCAGCAUGAGGACUGGGACAUCCCUGCAUGACCAACAGUGGCUAGAAAACACCAGGAAGCCACUGCAGUCACUCUGAGCAGGAGGUGUGUGCAGCCCAGAAAUCCUCCAGCCAGAGGUCAAAGUCACAGAGCCAUGGGUGCCAGUGGAGAAUGGUAUAUUGUUUGACCCAGCAAAGGCCAACAAAGACAUUUCCUGGAGAGCAUGGGGUGUUCCAGCCCACCCAGGGUCCAGCUUCUGGAGCCCCAUCACACCCCAAGGGCUCUCUAUGACACCCAGACAGGUACUAGCUCUGUGUCCAAUUAAAUGCUGCCAGGAACAAGGGCUCCCUUCCCACCGAGAAGCUGAUCCUGUUUGUUACCUAUGACCACAUUCUGGGUCUGUUCUUUAUCAAACCCACAUCUGCCUCAGCACUCUGCAGUUCACAUGAUGUGCCCAGUCUCUGCCAGGUGACAGCCAGGUGAGAGCAGUUUGUACAGGGCACUCGGCCUUCCUUUUGCUUCACUGACUGCCAUCCCCUGCAGCUACCUUGUUUCUGACAUAACCACUGUCCUGGCUCCCCUUUUUGCUUGUGCUCAACUUUAACAGCAUCUCUCUUAGAAGUAGAAGAUGAGCUCUGAGCAGCCUGAGUAUAGAAAUGACCCCCCCCCAGGUGAGGGUCUCGCCUGCUCUUAGCUUUGCCUGAGAUGCUGUCAUCUGGGGACACUGAUGGGGGUCCCUUUACCUCAAGCUCCCACAGAACUGCUCUCUGCAGCCCUGUCAUCCUGAUAUAGGUUAGGUGGGAGGGGAGAUGAUCAGAUGCAUAGUUUGCCAAAUGUUGAGGAGACAGCGCUGCCUGAGCCAAGUGGCACCACUUAAACACACCAGGUGAGACUCAGAGCAAUAUCUGAGGUCCCAGCUCAGCCCCAGCAGGGUGGGGGUAGGGGGUGAGGCUCAGCCAGAGUACAGUAUGAGGACAAGAGGACCAUGUCUCAGCCGCAGUGCACCGAGUGCCUCAUAUCUAUAGCACACUUCCCCUGGUUUUGAACAAACCCAGCUGAAAAUUUGAAAAGAUUUAAAAUGGCAUUUCCUAAGUGUUUCGUAAGAAGGUGAUAGGUGACAGGUAAAACUAAUAUAUGGUCUCAUAGGGUUGGAAAAUACUGGAAUGACCAAAAGUAAAUGGGUUUCUUUUGCUACAAAGAGCCUUAAGGAUGCUGGUGGGUAUCAUGAAUCUCCAGGCAGUGGGCACAAUGCAGUAUGAGGUUUGGGGAAUGAUCCCUUUCCCAAACCUUCUAGUUGAAAAAUCUCAUCUUUCUGCUGUUCUGGCCCACCUUUGCCCCAAAGGAAGCACACUGUCUGGGUUCAUUCAUUCUUUUAGCAAGCUUGUUCUCAGCCCCUGCCCUCAGGGCUGGUCUUGCUUGAGGGAAGGGUGGUGUUUGUGAAGCAACCCAGGAAAAACCAGACUCACCAUCAAAUGUCAGAGAGGGAGGAGACGUGGAGGGAGCCUCCUUGAGCACUUUGUGGUAGGAGACUGAAGGACACGGCAGGUCACAGGCCUUCUAAGGGACAGCGGCUGAGUGAGGUGUACAGAUCCUGGCUGCCAGGCCUGGGCUGGCUCUCUAUGAUGGCAGUUACAGUGCUGUUCUCAGUCUCUUGUCCACGUGCCGUGUCUGCCCGGCUCAACUCCGCAUCCUCAGCAGCCAGGACGGUGCCAGGACCCAGUGGCUGUCAGUGAGUAAGUGGUGAAUGAAACUAUGAUGGUGUGGUUGGGUUAGACGACUUAGCAUCUCAUCUAGAGUUAAGGUUCAGAGAGACUGCGAAGGGAGAUGGUUAGAUUCAGAGAGAGAAGUGGUCCGUGGGCUGGAACGCUGGGGAGGCACGAGCAGGGAAAAGCACACAGCCAGCAGCCAGCAAAGGGCCUCCCUGGGGGGCGUUGGGAAAGCCUGCCUCUGCAGUGCAAGCCCACUCAUCAGAGACAGCCUCGACCCGAGGCACCUUUCAAAACCUCUCCAGUCAGGACCCUGGGCCUGAACUGAAGUCAAUUGUUUUUCUGGAGCAGCCAAAGUUGCUUCUCUUUUCAGCCAAUUUACACCUUGGCCACAGACACCCAACAAUAAAGAUGAUUACAACCUAGCAUUUGCUGGGGCCCAGCACUGUACUAAGUACUUUAGAUCAUAAUCUGAGUUUAUCCUCAAAACAACCUUGUAAGGUGAGUAUAAUUAUUGUUGCCACUUGACGGAUGUCCAAUUCACAAAGCUAGUGUAGUGGACGGCAGCUGUCCAAGCUUUGAGCUGGACAGUCUAACUUCAGAGUCUUCACUCUUUUCACGGUCAGUGAUGGUAGUGGUAGUGUGUUCAUCGCUUCCUCUUAAAAUUUUUAACAUGGAAAAUUUCCAACGUAUAAAAAGCAGGGAGAAGAGUGUAAUGAAUCACUAUGUACCCAUUUCUCAACGGCAACAACUGUGGACUCAGAACCAAUCUCUCCAUCAAGACCCUCCCACCUCUGCCUCCCAUCAUCAUGGAUUGUUUUAAAAAGCAAAUAUCAUGUAUUACAUAAUUUCAUCCAUAGAUCUCUUAGUGUGCUUCUCUAAAAGAUAAAGCCAAAUCCUCAUUCUCAAUUAUAGCACUUUAUGCCCUCCUGACUGACAAGUACUUUAAGCCAGGGGCACCCUGAUCCACCUCCCCCACUAUAUUUUGGGCUACCAACAGCCUAGCCCACAGGCAGGGAUGCAGCUGGCUCAUGGGCAGCCUGUCCCCAGUGCCCACCUCACAGCCUGGCCGGAGGUCCUCGCUGACCUCCUCCAAGUGUCUUUCUAUGGCUGAAGCUGCUGCCAUCAGUGCGUCUAGAGAUGGGGAACAACUGGAUGUGAUAGUUUCUGCUAUGAAGACGGGUCUUUUCCUCUCUUCUUGCUCUCUCACUCCUUGUUGGUCACCACGAGGCCAGCAGCUCUGCUCCACCACACCCUCACAGCCAGGAGGUUUUCCUCACCAAAAGCCCAAAGCAAUGGAACCAAACACCCUUGGACUGAAACUGUGAACCAAAAUAAAUCUUUCCUCCCUUAAGUUGAUUUACCUGAGGGUUUUUUCCCCCAUAACAAUGGAAAGCUAACACAGGGAGUCUCCUCUGCCUGGGAGGGAAUGACUCCCCACUUUUGCUCAAUCUAAAACCAAGUACAGACAAGAUGAAGCCAAGGCACCUGGUGUGAUUCACUGUGCCUCUCAAAAGCUGGGAGGAUCCUGUCUCACUUUCUGCAUCUGUAGAGAUGGGACUAUAUCACCUAUCUUUCAAUGUGAUUUGAAGGUCCAAGGGGCAAGUUUUCUCUAAGAAGCUGUCUAUAAAAGAACGCAGUACCUACCAUGGCCAGCAGGUGUCGCCGUAAGACAAAGUAUCAUAAACAGCACAAGGUAGGGACUACUCCAAUGAGAUUCUUUCAAUAUCAGAUCCAGUUAGACUUGGAGGAAUUGGAAGAAAGUUCAGCUUGUAGGAUUUGUCCUUAGAAAAGUCGGUGUCUGGCUUUUUAACUGAGAGUUAAAAAGUAAAGUUUUGCAGCUUUCAAAGUAUGCUCACCUGAAGACAUCAUAGCAAGAUAGGCAUCAAUAACCCUGUUUUUUAGAUGAAGAAAUUGAGGCCUCAAAAAGCAGGUGACUUGCUAAAGUUGUGCAUAUACUAAAGGGCAGAGCAGGGACUCCAACUUAGACCUUCCAGUUCUGUAUUCUGGGCACUGUACUGAGACACAUGUGCCCUUUGGGAAAGCAGAAAAGAUACAAGUGUUCCCAAAGGUCUCUGCAAGUGAUGGGCCUCAGAUUCUGCUCUUUAGUGGAGAGGUCAACUAGAUCAAAGGCUCCCAAACUCAGCUACACAACUCCCCCCCCACACACACACACAUACGCACCAGCAACAGUGUAUGUGGGCAGAUGGAGAGAACCCCCAGGCUGCAGAAUCAGAGGCCCAGAUUUUACAUCCCCGUAAGCAGCCUUGCGCAGCCUUGGACUGGCACUGGCACCACAGGACCCUCUGGGGAAUUCUAUUCUGUACUUCAUUAGAGAAUUUGCACUUCACCUUUCAAAACACCUAACACAGUGCCUGGCACAUAUCAGUAUUCAAAUAUUCAACAAAAAUUUGCUCAGUGAAUGCCUGAAAACCAUGCAAUUACCUGGCCCAGAGGAAACCUGUGUUAACCUUGCUCUGGCCCUCAACACAAUCCUAUUCUAUGUUCCAUAGUACUUGACAGCUUUUGUGUCUGGUUUACACAAGAAUCUCACUCAGCCCCUUCGUGAUGGGGAUUAUGAUCCCCAUCCUGCAGAUGAGAAGACUCAGGGUCUGAGGUUCGGAGACAUGAUGCAGCAUGCCCAGCUUGCUGGGACAGAGCUGCACUUCUCAAGGCCUAUUCCCCACCUUGUCCGCUGCACUAUUCCGCUUUGCACUGUUUUCACUGUGAGGUCUGAAGGAAAGGAAGCGUUUUAUCUGGGGGGCUGUGAGCUUCCAGAGCUGAGGGUCCUUGGCUCAGAUUUGGAGUGGUGAGCUCAGUAGUUUGUCUGGAAGUUGGGAUGGGGGGGGCGGGGAGGAGUCUUGCCUCAUUUGCUAAAGUGGCUCCCUGCCAAGCUCCAGGGUGAGGUAGACAGGUCCCUCUGUGGUGGCCCAAAAUAUUCUUGUCACAGGUACCUCCCUGGAAAGAGCUGACUGGAGGGACCAGAGCACCCCUCCCCAACUCUGCCCAGCCCACAGGGUGGUUCCACUCUCUGGAGAGGACCCUCAGCCACCUUGGCCCCUGCCGGAUGUCUGAGCUGUCCUCCACCCAGCCUCUGCUUAGGGAAGCUGGGUGUGUGCUGCCCCCUAGUGCCUCAGGGUGAGAUGGCAGCACCAUAGAAGGUGGCAACUGUGGUUCACAACCACAUGGGCUCUGCCUUCACCUCAAGUCAUCCUUAUAGGAGAGGUUAGAACCUGAGAUGGUCUCUGCCCCAGCCUGUGCCCACGUGGCCUCAAGAUCUACUGGAAGGGACACAUGGUGUCAUUCUUUGCGGAGGGGGUUGAGAUCCCUGGAAGGUCUCCGUGAGGCAGAGUGGGGCCAGAGCAUGACUUGGGGGGCCCCAGGCUGGGCCACCCUCUGGCCAGGCCCUUCCUGGGUUGCUCAGCCCUCCCCAGUCCCAACAUAACUAAAACGCAUUCCCACGCACACCCAGGAUGUGUCAUCAAGGAACUUGUGUCCCAGAUCCUCCUGGUUCCCGCACAGUGGGCCCAGUCUGCCCUCUCCCAGCCUCAAAGGAAAUGGGGAGCCCCCAGCCAUGGCAGCAGAGGGUGCAGGGUGGGGCCC